RNAcentral lists this ribosomal RNA (204 nucleotides) under Lactococcus lactis. RNAcentral's name for it is "partial 16S ribosomal RNA". It matches the Rfam family "Bacterial small subunit ribosomal RNA", at positions 1301 to 1506 of the family's 1533-position model. The record is from RNAcentral. Lineage: Bacteria; Bacillati; Bacillota; Bacilli; Lactobacillales; Streptococcaceae.
UGGGUUGCAAUUCCCCUACAGAAAUUGGGAAUCGUUGGUAAUCGGGGAUCACCACGCCGGGGGGAAUACUUUCCCGGCCCUUGUACACCCCCCCCGUCACCCCCCGGGAGUUGGGAGUACCCGAAGUAGGUUGCCUAACCCCAAGGAGGGCGUUUCUUAAGGUAAGACCGAGGAUGGGGGGAGUUUUAACAAGGAGAUGCGACU